GGGCCAGUAGCUCAGUACUUUCGUAUAUCACGCCUUGCCUGAUUUUCAUCGGGCUGAAGAUGUACGGUUAUCUGGUAGAGCGACCGAAAAGGUUGUCGGGGGUUCGAUUCCCUCCUGGUCCACCA
RNAcentral lists this transfer RNA (125 nucleotides) under Desulfonema magnum. Its description in RNAcentral is "tRNA-Phe". It matches the Rfam family "tRNA". From Rfam's summary of the family: Transfer RNA (tRNA) molecules are approximately 80 nucleotides in length. Their secondary structure includes four short double-helical elements and three loops (D, anti-codon, and T loops). Lineage: Bacteria; Pseudomonadati; Thermodesulfobacteriota; Desulfobacteria; Desulfobacterales; Desulfococcaceae. The record is from RNAcentral.